This 289-nucleotide long non-coding RNA is filed under the name Homo sapiens (human). RNAcentral describes it as "non-protein coding lnc-CD8B2-13:1". The record is from RNAcentral. Lineage: Eukaryota; Metazoa; Chordata; Mammalia; Primates; Hominidae.
UGGCAAUCCAAUACAGGGGCAUAGCCAGUGCUUAUUUGGCCUGGAUGGUUCAGGAUAAUCACCUGAGCAGUGAAACCAGCUGCUUCCAUUGGUGGGUCAUUUUUGCUGUCACCAGCAACGUUGCCUGGAGCAAAGGUGACCACCAUACCAGGUUUGAGAACACCAGUCUCCACUCGGCCAACAGGAACACUACCAAUACCACCAAUUUUGUAGACAUCCUGGAGAGGCAGGUGCAAGGGCUUGUCAGUUGGACGAGUUGGUGGUAGGAUGCAGUCCAGAGCCUCAAGCA